RNAcentral lists this ribosomal RNA (441 nucleotides) under uncultured bacterium. Its description in RNAcentral is "bacterial SSU rRNA". It matches the Rfam family "Bacterial small subunit ribosomal RNA", at positions 958 to 1398 of the family's 1533-position model. The record is from RNAcentral.
AACGCGAAGAACCUUACCUACCCUUGACAUCCUAAGAAUCCUGCAGAGAUGCGGGAGUGCCGAAAGGAACUUAGAGACAGGUGCUGCAUGGCUGUCGUCAGCUCGUGUUGUGAGAUGUUGGGUUAAGUCCCGUAACGAGCGCAACCCUUAUCCUUAGUUGCCAUCACGUCAUGGUGGGGACUCUAAGGAGACUGCUGGUGAUGAACCGGAGGAAGGCGGGGACGACGUCAAGUCAUCAUGGCCUUUAUGGGUAGGGCUACACACGUGCUACAAUGGGGCGUACAGAGGGUAGCGAAGCUGCGAAGCGGAGCCAAUCUCAGAAAGCGUCUCGUAGUCCGGAUCGGAGUCUGCAACUCGACUCCGUGAAGUCGGAAUCGCUAGUAAUCGCGAAUCAGAACGUCGCGGUGAAUACGUUCCCGGGCCUUGUACACACCGUAGUAC